RNAcentral lists this long non-coding RNA (792 nucleotides) under Amborella trichopoda. Its description in RNAcentral is "long non-coding RNA (ATRI_LNC004167)". Lineage: Eukaryota; Viridiplantae; Streptophyta; Magnoliopsida; Amborellales; Amborellaceae. The record is from RNAcentral.
UUUCAAAAUACCAUGGAUUAUGAAAUGGUCCUAUCAAAUAACAGAAGAUUAUACUAAUAAUUGGGAAUACAUCCCAAAACUCGGAAGACAAAUAUACGUAAAAUGGUGGGAUGUAUAUGAAAAUAAGACCAUUAAUCCCGAAAAUAUAAAACUGAAAAAAGUACCACUUGCACUCCAAAAGAAGAAGUUAAUAUGACCACCUAUAUCAAUAAAAUGAGGCAACAAAAUCCUACUGCUACGAAAGAAGAACUCAAAAGAAAAUUGUUGCAAAUGUUCGAUGAAGAAGAAGAACCAAUGUCUACAUCCACGCAGAAUGAAGAAGACUACGCACAAGAAAAUGAAGACAUAGAGUUUGGACUAUCCCAAAGGGGAUGAACAAUCAAAAUGCUAUUCAGGACGGGACGACUGCACUUCACAAGCACACGAGUCCUGCCAAAAGAUUCCUUCCUGCCGACAAAAUAGUACCUGCCAACAAAUAGUCACCUACCGACAAAAGCUUUUCCUUUUUGUCUUAUCAUCUUUUCACUAUUCACCUUUUUGUCUUGACACCUUUUUACUAUUCACCUUUUGGUCUUGUCACCUUUUACUAUUCACACCUUUCGGUCUUUUCACCGACAUCUAUGGGACCCAUCCAGCACCACCAUCAUCCUCAAACCCUGUAGCAGACUUGAAAUUUUUCUUUCACAUCCGCUGGCUAUAAAAGGGAAGGUGAGGCUCAUUUCAUAGCACCGCGAGUUUUCCCCCUCAGUCUCCAUUUCUCUGCAACCUCUUCUGCUCUGUAGCCCCUACAUU